This 68-nucleotide transfer RNA is filed under the name Upogebia yokoyai. Its description in RNAcentral is "tRNA-Tyr". It matches the Rfam family "tRNA". Rfam says of the family: Transfer RNA (tRNA) molecules are approximately 80 nucleotides in length. Their secondary structure includes four short double-helical elements and three loops (D, anti-codon, and T loops). The record is from RNAcentral. Lineage: Eukaryota; Metazoa; Arthropoda; Malacostraca; Decapoda; Upogebiidae.
AAUGAGGUGGCUGAGUGAAAUAGGCAUUAGAUUGUAAAUCUAAAAACGGGAUAAUAUCUCUUUCAUUA